UUUCAUUUUAGAAAAGAAAAACAAAAAAGAGACUAUAGAGACGCGAGAGUAAUAGAAGGAUAUCCAUUUUUUUAGAAUCUACCUGUUCCUCUCACAACUCACAAGCCCAGCCAACAGCUUGCAAGCUGGAUUCAUCCCUCCUAAAUAAAAAUAAUAAAACUCAGAAAUGUCCACGCCCAUUCCCUUCACUCCCAGUCUCUGCUUCUACUCUCUCUCUCUCUCCCUUCCUCCCCCUCCCUCUGUGAGAUUGUUAGGAACUCCUUUCCGAUGAAUUGUCUUCAGAAUCUUCCCAGCUCAUAUGUUUUGCCCUUGCAAAGCUUCAAAAGCCAUAAAAGAAAGCUUUCUUCCUCUGUCAGUGUUCUGGGAAGGAUGAAUUCUACCGACCUGUGCCGGAGUAUUGCUGCGAAGGCAAUCUCUGGUUCCACAUCCGACGCUGAGAUGAGUGGAUCUGAAAUAGAGGAGGAAAAAUCUACGGCAUAUAGUCAUAACAUGACAGAAGCUAUGGGUGCUGUCUUGACAUAUCGGCAUGAACUGGGGAUGAACUACAAUUUCAUUCGUCCAGACUUGAUUGUUGGGUCAUGCUUACAGACUCCUGAAGAUGUUGACAAGCUUCGAAAUGUCGGAGUGAAAACCAUUCUUUGCUUGCAGCAAGAUCCAGAUCUUGAAUAUUUUGGGGUUGAUAUAAGUGCCAUACGUGAGUAUGCAAAAACAUAUGAUGACAUCCAACACUUACGUGCUGAAAUAAGGGACUUUGAUGCCUUUGAUCUAAGGAUGCGGCUGCCUGCUGUUGUUGGCAAAUUACACAAGGCUGUAAAUCGGAAUGGAGGUGUAACUUACAUACAUUGCACAGCUGGACUUGGGAGAGCUCCUGCUGUUGCGUUGGCUUACAUGUUCUGGGUUCAGGGCUAUAAACUUAGUGAAGCUCACACUUUGUUGCAGAGUAAACGUCCAAGCUUUCCGAAGUUGGAUGCUAUAAAAAAUGCGACUGCUGACAUUCUUGCAGGCUUCACAAAGAAGCAUGUCACAUUGACAUGGGAAGGUGACAACAGUUCCACUGUGGAAAUUUCUGGACUUGAUUUUGGAUGGGGCCAGGUAAUGAUAUUUUUUUGAAUUUUUUUUCUUGAGCUCUAAAAACCAUUCCAGGUACAUUUAAAAGUUUACUUUGGUGUGAUGUAUAUAUGUUUGGACAUUUUAUAAUUGGCAAGAGUCAUAUGCUGCUAUCUUAUAAGUGCAAAUGCAAUGAUUUUGUCUUAUUCUGGAUACCAACUUUUUCUUGAUCUUUUUACAAUGUUUUUUUUUACCAAUAUGGCGAAUUGUGUGUAACAUGGUUGGUUGCAUAGAGUAUUUUCAAGUGAUGCUCUGCCUUACCUAAACAAGGCAUGUUAUUCCUCAUGUUCAGGCAAUGGGUGAAAAUGUUUCAACAUGAAAAAUUAUUUUUUUCUCUCCGAAUGAUAAAAAAUAAAUAAAAAUAAAAAAUAAAAAAAAUUCCAUGCAGUUUUUGCAUACAUUUCUAGUGCUGUUUACUGUAUUUCUAACAUUUCAUUCUUCAUUGAAAGAUUUGUAUUGUUUUUCCACUCUUAGAAGUUCCCAGCCAGGGAGUAUGUGUUAUUGUGUUUUACAUGCAAAGCGGAAGAGGAAACUAGCUGCUGCUCGAUAUUAUUUUGUUCAGUGGCGAGGUAGUUUUGUGCUUUGCAUCUCCUUUGUUUGAUGUUCAUGGGUUAUGCAAGAGGCAGUAUGAGUUGGCGGGUAGGUGUAACAUGUGCAAAGUGAAAGGAAACCAUCUGCCACUUGUUAUUGUUUUGUUCAGGGGCAAGGGAGCUCUGGGCCUUGCUUCUUGCUUCAUUUGGUGUUCACUGCGUUAUGCCAACAAUGUUGGAAUGCUGGCUGCAGGAAUGCCAGUUGAACUAGAAAACAGGAUACAGAAAGGAGACUUACUUUUGAGGAGAGAGAGGAAAAUUAGGUGAUCCUACAGGAGAAGAAAGAUGAUCAUGAUGUUGUGGCUGCCCUCUGAUAAAAUCCAAUGUAUGGUUCCUGAAGGAUGCUUUGCUAUGAUAUUUUCUCUAAUUCUCUCAAAUCAAGCAUGAGAGUUCAAGACUUGUCUUGUAGAGGAAUGAUUUCUGUUAGUCAAUGUAUGUUAUCUAGAUUGUUUGGUUCAUAUGCUUGUUGGCUGUUUGUUUCAAUGCUAGAUGACAACCUAAAUGCUUUCUGAAACAGAGAUGACAACUGUGUGUUGGACAUUGAUUUUCUGUCCUCAGAGAAACUCAAGUUGAAAGGAGUGUUAUGAGAAAUAUGCUUUUAGAAUUGUGUUCUUUUACACAUUAGAAGACUUGGGGAUGAUAUAGUAAAUGUUAAUAUGCUUUUAGAAUUGUCUUCUUUUAGAAGACUUGGGAAUGAUAUUGUGCUUUAAUUCAGUUUCAAUGAGUC
This is an RNA transcript of Malania oleifera, 2424 nucleotides long. It is a transcript of the gene named phosphoglucan phosphatase DSP4, amyloplastic, with no coding region annotated. The transcript is spliced from 12 exons. NCBI's taxonomy places the organism in Eukaryota, Viridiplantae, Streptophyta, Magnoliopsida, Santalales, Ximeniaceae. The record is from RefSeq and is a predicted model, not a curated record.